GUAAAAUUCUCUCUUGUCUCCUCUGAUGUGACCUUCGUAGUUUAUUUAGUUCUCUCUAUGGAGUCAUUAUGGCAGGCGAGAAAGGUACCCCCGUAUCUGGGCACCCCACCCAUUCCCUGGUCACCCAGCCUGACCUUCACAGCCUGACACCCUCCUGUCCCUCCCUCUCCUGACCUGAGUCAGCGUGGGUUCCUCCUUGGGGAGUCUCUUGGGGGUCCAGAGAAAUCAUGGAGGUGGGGAUUCUGGUGCAGGACACUGCCUGAGACAAGAAGCCCA
Molecule: long non-coding RNA, 276 nt
Filed under: Homo sapiens (human)
Lineage: Eukaryota; Metazoa; Chordata; Mammalia; Primates; Hominidae
Description: HSALNT0255278
Source: RNAcentral